RNAcentral lists this ribosomal RNA (254 nucleotides) under uncultured bacterium. RNAcentral describes it as "partial 16S ribosomal RNA". It matches the Rfam family "Bacterial small subunit ribosomal RNA", at positions 524 to 776 of the family's 1533-position model. The record is from RNAcentral.
UACAGAGGUCUCAAGCGUUGUUCGGAUUCAUUGGGCGUAAAGGGUGCGUAGGUGGCGCCGUAAGUGGGGUGUGAAAUCUCGGGGCUUAACUCCGAAACUGCAUUCCAUACUGCGGUGCUUGAGGACUGGAGAGGAGACUGGAAUUUACGGUGUAGCGGUGAAAUGCGUAGAUAUCGGGAGGAACACCAGUGGCGAAGGCGACUACCUGGCCUGUUUCUUGACGCUGAGGCGCGAAAGCUAGGGGAGCAAACGGG